Molecule: ribosomal RNA, 253 nt
Filed under: uncultured bacterium
Lineage: Bacteria
Description: partial 16S ribosomal RNA
Rfam family: Bacterial small subunit ribosomal RNA
Source: RNAcentral
CACGUAGGGCGCAAGCGUUGUCCGGAAUUAUUGGGCGUAAAGAGCUCGUAGGCGGUCUGUUGCGUCUGCUGUGAAAACUCGGGGCUUAACCCCGAGCCUGCAGUGGAUACGGGCAGACUAGAGGUAGGUAGGGGAGAAUGGAAUUCCCGGUGUAGCGGUGAAAUGCGCAGAUAUCGGGAGGAACACCGGUGGCGAAGGCGGCGCUCUGGGCCGGUACUGACGCUGAGGAGCGAAAGCGUGGGUAGCAAACAGG